RNAcentral lists this long non-coding RNA (719 nucleotides) under Homo sapiens (human). Its description in RNAcentral is "non-protein coding LINC02432:11". Lineage: Eukaryota; Metazoa; Chordata; Mammalia; Primates; Hominidae. The record is from RNAcentral.
UGGCAACCCGCUCCGGUGUCCUUCCAUGCUGUGGAGGCUCUGUUGUUUCGCUCUUUCUACUGCUUACUCUUCGGGUCCACACUGCUUUUAUGAGCUGUAACACUCACCCUGAAGGUUUGCAACUUGACUCCUGAAGCCAGCAAGACCACGAGCCCCAGGGAGGAACGAACAACUCCAGACGCGCUGCCUUAAGAGCUGUAACACUCACCGAGAAGGUCUGCAGCUUCACUCCUGAGCCAGCGAGGCCACGAACCCACCAGAAGGAAGAAACUCUGAACACAUCCGAACAUCAGAAGGAACAAACUCCAGACGUGCCACCUUAAGAGCUGUUAACACUCACCGCGAGGGUCCGCGGCUUCAUUUUUGAAGUCAGUGAGACCAAGAACCAACCAAUUCGGGACACAAUACCAACUCUUUCAUGCCAGGAGAAGCCUCCUUAAAAAAUUUCGGUGAUUAACAGCAGCACAUGGGUCAAAAUCUCCUGAAAGUUGAGCAGGGGAGCUGUAGAAGAAUUCCUCCUUUUCUCGCAGAUGAAAUCUUAUGAUAUAGCAGGGGUUACCUGGCCAAGAAGGAACACAGAGGAGAACAAAGAAAAUUCAAGGAACUAAAUUCCUUCUCCACCUCAACCACCAGCAUUGAUACUCCAUCACUUAUGUACUGCAUCAAGCCGUCCUCAGAGGUGAGGAAGGUGCUGUCAAGACUAGAAGCAUGUGUCCCUC